Molecule: long non-coding RNA, 235 nt
Filed under: Selaginella moellendorffii
Lineage: Eukaryota; Viridiplantae; Streptophyta; Lycopodiopsida; Selaginellales; Selaginellaceae
Description: long non-coding RNA (SMOE_LNC000076)
Source: RNAcentral
UAAACAGCGUAUUUCUCUCGCUUCGUAUCUAAGCAAUUCCACUCGUCUACCACAAACAUCAGCUUGUGCUUUGAAUACUCAAAAAUGCCUAUUAACUCUAGAAGCGAGUUUGCAGACAGCACCAAUUUUUGGGUUGAUUCAUCAUCCGCAAACGCGAGGAGGAGCGCCUCCUUCAAGACCGUUACAGGGUUUAGAGCGAACUGGUGUCCAACAAUGUAGACAAGUCGUCGACCAC